AACGAACGCUGGCGGCAUGCCUAACACAUGCAAGUCGAACGAGACCUUCGGGUCUAGUGGCGCACGGGUGCGUAACGCGUGGGAACCUGCCCUUAGGUUCGGAAUAACUCCCCGAAAGGGGUGCUAAUACCGGAUAAUGUCUUCGGACCAAAGAUUUAUCGCCUUUGGAUGGGCCCGCGUUGGAUUAGCUAGUUGGUAGGGUAAAAGCCUACCAAGGCGACGAUCCAUAGCUGGUCUGAGAGGAUGAUCAGCCACACUGGGACUGAGACACGGCCCAGACUCCUACGGGAGGCAGCAGUGGGGAAUAGUGGAACAUGGGCGAAAGCCUGAUCCAGCAAUGCCGCGUGAGUGAUGAAGGCCUUAGGGUUGUAAAGCUCUUUUACCCGGGAUGAUAAUGACAGUACCGGGAGAAUAAGCUCCGGCUAACUCCGUG
Molecule: ribosomal RNA, 433 nt
Filed under: uncultured bacterium
Lineage: Bacteria
Description: partial 16S ribosomal RNA
Rfam family: Bacterial small subunit ribosomal RNA
Source: RNAcentral